UGAGCAGGCGGCAGAUUAAGUUUGAGGUUAAAGCGUGGGGCUCAACCCCAUAAAGCCUUGAAAACUGAUCAGCUAGAGUACGAGAGAUGUGAAGGGAACUCCAUGUGUAGCGGUGAAAUGCGUAGAUAUAUGGAAGAACACCAGUGGCGAAGGCGCUUCACAAGCUCGAAACUGACGCUCAGUCACGAAAGCGUGGGUAGCAAAUAG
Molecule: ribosomal RNA, 207 nt
Filed under: uncultured bacterium
Lineage: Bacteria
Description: partial 16S ribosomal RNA
Rfam family: Bacterial small subunit ribosomal RNA
Source: RNAcentral